Molecule: transfer RNA, 59 nt
Filed under: Riccardoella reaumuri
Lineage: Eukaryota; Metazoa; Arthropoda; Arachnida; Trombidiformes; Ereynetidae
Description: tRNA-Glu
Source: RNAcentral
AACUCUAAAGUGUCAUACACAUAAUAAUUUCAAUAUUAAAUAGCCUAUAGCUAGAGUUA